RNAcentral lists this ribosomal RNA (1372 nucleotides) under uncultured bacterium. Its description in RNAcentral is "bacterial SSU rRNA". It matches the Rfam family "Bacterial small subunit ribosomal RNA", at positions 28 to 1381 of the family's 1533-position model. The record is from RNAcentral.
GAUGAACGCUGGCGGCGUGCCUAAUACAUGCAAGUCGAGCGAACGGACGAGAAGCUUGCUUCUCUGAUGUUAGCGGCGGACGGGUGAGUAACACGUGGAUAACCUACCUAUAAGACUGGGAUAACUUCGGGAAACCGGAGCUAAUACCGGAUAAUAUUUUGAACCGCAUGGUUCAAAAGUGAAAGACGGUCUUGCUGUCACUUAUAGAUGGAUCCGCGCUGCAUUAGCUAGUUGGUAAGGUAACGGCUUACCAAGGCAACGAUGCAUAGCCGACCUGAGAGGGUGAUCGGCCACACUGGAACUGAGACACGGUCCAGACUCCUACGGGAGGCAGCAGUAGGGAAUCUUCCGCAAUGGGCGAAAGCCUGACGGAGCAACGCCGCGUGAGUGAUGAAGGUCUUCGGAUCGUAAAACUCUGUUAUUAGGGAAGAACAUAUGUGUAAGUAACUGUGCACAUCUUGACGGUACCUAAUCAGAAAGCCACGGCUAACUACGUGCCAGCAGCCGCGGUAAUACGUAGGUGGCAAGCGUUAUCCGGAAUUAUUGGGCGUAAAGCGCACGUAGGCGGUUUUUUAAGUCUGAUGUGAAAGCCCACGGCUCAACCGUGGAGGGUCAUUGGAAACUGGAAAACUUGAGUGCAGAAGAGGAGAGUGGAAUUCCAUGUGUAGCGGUGAAAUGCGCAGAGAUAUGGAGGAACACCAGUGGCGAAGGCGACUUUCUGGUCUGUAACUGACGCUGAUGUGCGAAAGCGUGGGGAUCAAACAGGAUUAGAUACCCUGGUAGUCCACGCCGUAAACGAUGAGUGCUAAGUGUUAGGGGGUUUCCGCCCCUUAGUGCUGCAGCUAACGCAUUAAGCACUCCGCCUGGGGAGUACGACCGCAAGGUUGAAACUCAAAGGAAUUGACGGGGACCCGCACAAGCGGUGGAGCAUGUGGUUUAAUUCGAAGCAACGCGAAGAACCUUACCAAAUCUUGACAUCCUUUGACAACUCUAGAGAUAGAGCUUUCCCCUUCGGGGGACAAAGUGACAGGUGGUGCAUGGUUGUCGUCAGCUCGUGUCGUGAGAUGUUGGGUUAAGUCCCGCAACGAGCGCAACCCUUAAGCUUAGUUGCCAUCAUUAAGUUGGGCACUCUAAGUUGACUGCCGGUGACAAACCGGAGGAAGGUGGGGAUGACGUCAAAUCAUCAUGCCCCUUAUGAUUUGGGCUACACACGUGCUACAAUGGACAAUACAAAGGGCAGCGAAACCGCGAGGUCAAGCAAAUCCCAUAAAGUUGUUCUCAGUUCGGAUUGUAGUCUGCAACUCGACUACAUGAAGCUGGAAUCGCUAGUAAUCGUAGAUCAGCAUGCUACGGUGAAUACGUUCCCGGGUCU